This 904-nucleotide ribosomal RNA is filed under the name uncultured archaeon. RNAcentral's name for it is "bacterial SSU rRNA". It matches the Rfam family "Archaeal small subunit ribosomal RNA", at positions 21 to 903 of the family's 1478-position model. The record is from RNAcentral.
CCCGACUGCUAUCGAAAUGGGACUAAGCCAUGUUAGUCGAACGUCUUUUAACUAUGUGAAGGGCGUGGCGUACGGCUCAGUAACACGUUGUCAACCUACCCUGAAGACGUGGAUAACCCCGGGAAACUGGGAUUAAACCACGAUAGAUCAAGAUUUCUGGAAUGGAUCUUGAUUCAAAGGAAGGAUGAGCAUGUUCAUCUAUUUGCCUCAGGAUGGGACUGCGACCGAUCAGGUAGUUGGUGGAGUAAUAGCCCACCAAGCCAGUAACCGGUACGGGCUUUGAGAGAAGGAGCCCGGAGAUGGACACUGAGAAAAGAGUCCAGGUCCUACGGGGCGCAGCAGGCGCGAAACCUUCGCAAUGCACGAAAGUGCGACGAGGUUAUUUCGAGUGCUAUCCGCUGAGGAUAGCUUUUGUCAGGUGUAAAUAGCCUGGAGAAUAAGGGGAGGGCAAGUCUGGUGUCAGCCGCCGCGGUAAUACCAGCUCCCCGAGUGGUCGGGACGAUUAUUGGGCCUAAAGCAUCCGUAGCCUGCUUUGCAGGUCUUCUGUUAAAUUCAACGGCUUAACCGUUGAGCUGCAGGAGAUACCACAAGGCUAGGAGGCGGGAGAGGUAGACGGUACUCCAUGGGUAGGGGUAAAAUCCUCUGAUCCAUGGAAGACCACCAGUGGCGAAGGCGGUCUACCAGAACGCGCUCGACGGUGAGGGAUGAAAGCUGGGGGAGCGAACCGGAUUAGAUACCCGGGUAGUCCCAGCUGUAAACGAUGCUAGCUAGGUGACGGAGUGGUUUCGUACCAUUCCGGUGCCGCAGGGAAGCCGUUAAGCUAGCCGCCUGGGGAGUACGGUCGCAAGACUGAAACUUAAAGGAAUUGGCGGGGGAGCACCACAAGGGGUGAAGCCUGCGGUUC